Molecule: ribosomal RNA, 749 nt
Filed under: uncultured soil archaeon
Lineage: Archaea
Description: bacterial SSU rRNA
Rfam family: Archaeal small subunit ribosomal RNA
Source: RNAcentral
GGAUAAACUCGGGAAGUGAGGCUAACCGCGAUAGACCAAGAUACCUGGAAUGGUUUUGAUCAACUCUAUAUGGCCUUUGGGAUUGGACUACGACCGAUCAGGCUGUUGGUGAGGUAAUGGCCCACCAAACCUGUAACCGGUACGGGCUCUGAGAGGAGGAGCCCGGAGAUGGGUACUGAGAAAAGGACCCAGGCCCUAUGGGGCGCAGCAGGCGCGAAACCUCUGCAAUAGGCGAAAGCCUGACAGGGUUACUCUGAGUGACUUUCGCUAAGAAAGUCUUUUGACACCUCUAAAAAUGGUGUAGAAUAAGGGGUGGGCAAGUCUGGUGUCAGCCGCCGCGGUAAUACCAGCACCCCGAGUGGUCGGGACGAUUAUUGGGCCUAAAGCAUCCGUAGCCGGUUUUACAAGUCCUCCGUUAAAUCCAACUGCUUAACAGAUGGGCCGCGGAGGAUACUAUAAGACUAGGAGGCAGGAGAGGCAAGCGGUACUCAGUGGGUAGGGGUAAAAUCCGUUGAUCCAUUGAAGACCACCAGUGGCGAAGGCGGCUUGCCAGAAUGCGCUCGACGGUGAGGGAUGAAAGCUGGGGGAGCAAACCGGAUUAGAUACCCGGGUAGUCCCAGCUGUAAACGAUGCAGACUCGGUGAUGGGUUGGCUUUGCGCCAACCCAGUGCCGCAGGGAAGCCGUUAAGUCUGCCGCCUGGGGAGUACGGUCGCAAGACUGAAACUUAAAGGAAUUGGCGGGGGAGCAC